This 509-nucleotide ribosomal RNA is filed under the name uncultured bacterium. RNAcentral describes it as "bacterial SSU rRNA". It matches the Rfam family "Bacterial small subunit ribosomal RNA", at positions 8 to 518 of the family's 1533-position model. The record is from RNAcentral.
AGAGUUUGAUUAUGGCUCAGAAUUAAUGCUAGUGGUGUGCCUAACACAUGCAAGUCGAACGGUGUUAUAGAAAUUGAGCUUCGGUUAAUUUUAUAAAUAUAGUGGCAACCGGGUGAGUAAUAUAUAAAUAAUCUACCUUGAAGAGAGGGAUAGUUCUGCGAAAGUGGAGAUAAUACCUCAUAAUGUCAUAAUUAGGGGACUUUUUAUGAUUAAAGAUUUAUCGCUUCAAGAUGAGUUUAUACACUAUCAGCUAGUUGGUAGGGUAAUGGCCUACCAAGGCUACGACGGUUAGCCGGCCUGAAAGGGUGAACGGCCACAUUGGAACUGAUACACGGUCCAGACUCCUACGGGAGGCAGCAGUGGGGAAUAUUGCGCAAUGGGGGAAACCCUGACGCCAGCGACACCAUGUGAAGGAUGAAGGUCUUAGGAUUGUAAACUUCUGUCUAGAGGAAAGAAUAGAUGACGGUACCUCUAAAGAAAGCACCGGCUAACUCCGUGCCAGCCGCGGC